Molecule: ribosomal RNA, 468 nt
Filed under: uncultured bacterium
Lineage: Bacteria
Description: partial 16S ribosomal RNA
Rfam family: Bacterial small subunit ribosomal RNA
Source: RNAcentral
GACGAACGCUGGCGGCGUGCUUAACACAUGCAAGUCGAACGGAAAGGCCCUGCUUUUGUGGGGUGCUCGAGUGGCGAACGGGUGAGUAACACGUGAGUAACCUGCCCUUGACUUUGGGAUAACUUCAGGAAACUGGGGCUAAUACCGGAUAGGAGCUCCUGCUGCAUGGUGGGGGUUGGAUAGUUUCGGCGGUUGGGGAUGGACUCGCGGCUUAUCAGCUUGUUGGUGGGGUAGUGGCUUACCAAGGCUUUGACGGGUAGCCGGCCUGCGAGGGGGACCGGCCACAUUGGGACUGAGAUACGACCCAGACUCCUACGGGAGGCAGCAGUGGGGAAUAUUGCACAAUGGGCGGAAGCCUGAUGCAGCAACGCCGCGUGCGGGAUGACGGCCUUCGGGUUGUAAACCGCUUUCGCCUGUGACGAAGCGUGAGUGACGGUAAUGGGUAAAGAAGCACCGGCUAACUACGUG